RNAcentral lists this ribosomal RNA (976 nucleotides) under Shigella sonnei. RNAcentral's name for it is "partial 23S ribosomal RNA". It matches the Rfam family "Bacterial large subunit ribosomal RNA", at positions 1946 to 2916 of the family's 2925-position model. The record is from RNAcentral. Lineage: Bacteria; Pseudomonadati; Pseudomonadota; Gammaproteobacteria; Enterobacterales; Enterobacteriaceae.
CGGUCCUAAGGUAGCGAAAUUCCUUGUCGGGUAAGUUCCGACCUGCACGAAUGGCGUAAUGAUGGCCAGGCUGUCUCCACCCGAGACUCAGUGAAAUUGAACUCGCUGUGAAGAUGCAGUGUACCCGCGGCAAGACGGAAAGACCCCGUGAACCUUUACUAUAGCUUGACACUGAACAUUGAGCCUUGAUGUGUAGGAUAGGUGGGAGGCUUUGAAGUGUGGACGCCAGUCUGCAUGGAGCCGGCCUUGAAAUACCACCCUUUAAUGUUUGAUGUUCUAACGUGGACCCGUGAUCCGGGUUGCGGACAGUGUCUGGUGGGUAGUUUGACUGGGGCGGUCUCCUCCUAAAGAGUAACGGAGGAGCACGAAGGUUGGCUAAUCCUGGUCGGACAUCAGGAGGUUAGUGCAAUGGCAUAAGCCAGCUUGACUGCGAGCGUGACGGCGCGAGCAGGUGCGAAAGCAGGUCAUAGUGAUCCGGUGGUUCUGAAUGGAAGGGCCAUCGCUCAACGGAUAAAAGGUACUCCGGGGAUAACAGGCUGAUACCGCCCAAGAGUUCAUAUCGACGGCGGUGUUUGGCACCUCGAUGUCGGCUCAUCACAUCCUGGGGCUGAAGUAGGUCCCAAGGGUAUGGCUGUUCGCCAUUUAAAGUGGUACGCGAGCUGGGUUUAGAACGUCGUGAGACAGUUCGGUCCCUAUCUGCCGUGGGCGCUGGAGAACUGAGGGGGGCUGCUCCUAGUACGAGAGGACCGGAGUGGACGCAUCACUGGUGUUCGGGUUGUCAUGCCAAUGGCACUGCCCGGUAGCUAAAUGCGGAAGAGAUAAGUGCUGAAAGCAUCUAAGCACGAAACUUGCCCCGAGAUGAGUUCUCCCUGACCCUUUAAGGGUCCUGAAGGAACGUUGAAGACGACGACGUUGAUAGGCCGGGUGUGUAAGCGCAGCGAUGCGUUGAGCUAACCGGUACUAAUGAACCGUGAGG